Molecule: ribosomal RNA, 1322 nt
Filed under: metagenome
Description: bacterial LSU rRNA
Rfam family: Bacterial large subunit ribosomal RNA
Source: RNAcentral
AGUGGAUGGGGAGCAACCUAGUUGUGCGUGUGUAAAGGUAGUGCCAAGAAAAGCGAUGAUCAUGUUGAAAAUCAAUUCCCGGUUCCCGAAACCGACACAGGUGGGCAAGUAGAGAAUACUAAGGGGCGCGAGGUAACUCUCUCCAAGGAACUCGGCAAAAUGACCCCGUAACUUAGGGAGAAGGGGUGCCACCGAGAGGUGGUCGCAGUGAAGAGGCCCAGGCGACUGUUUAGCAAAAACAUAGGUCUCUGCAAACUCGAAAGAGGAGGUAUAGGGGCUGACGCCUGCCCAGUGCCAGAAGGUUAAAGAAGUUGGUCAGUCUUAGGAUGAAGCUAGCGACUGAAGCCCCGGUGAACGGCGGCCGUAACUAUAACGGUCCUAAGGUAGUGAAAUUCCUUGUCGGGUAAGUUCCGACCCGCACGAAAGGCGUAACGAUCUGGGCGCUGUCUCGGAGAGAGGCUCGGCGAAAUAGGAUUGUCUGUGAAGAUACGGACUACCUGCAUUUGGACAGAAAGACCCUAUGAAGCUUUACUAUAGCUUGGAAUUGUGUUCGGGCUUCCUGUGCGCAGGAUAGGUGGGAGGCGUAGAAGGUAUUCUUGUGGGGAUACUGGAGCCAACGGUGAGAUACCACUCUCAGGAGGCUAGAAUUCUAACUUAAUUAAGGACAGUUUCAGGUGGGUAGUUUGACUGGGGCGGUCGCCUCCAAAAAGGUAACGGAGGCGUACAAAGGUUCCCUCAGACUGGUUGGAAAUCAGUCGAAGAGUGCAAAGGCAGAAGGGAGCUUGACUGCGAGAAGUACAGUUCGAGCAGGGUGGAAACACGGUCUUAGUGAUCCGACGGUGCUGUGUGGAAGGGCCGUCGCUCAACGGAUAAAAGUUACUCUAGGAUAACAGGCUGAUCUCCCCCAAGAGUUCACAUCGACGGGGAGGUUUGGCACCUCGAUGUCGGCUCAUCGCAACCUGGGGCGGAAGUACGUCCCAAGGGUUGGGCUGUUCGCCCAUUAAAGCGGUACGUGAGCUGGGUUCAGAACGUCGUGAGACAGUUCGGUCCAUAUCCGAUGUAGGCGUGAGAAUAUUGAGAGGAGCCUUCCUUAGUACGAGAGGACCGGGAAGGACGCACCGCUGGUGUACCUGUUAUGAUGCCAAUUGUAAACGCAGGGUAGCCAAGUGCGGAGAGGAUAACCGCUGAAAGCAUCUAAGUGGGAAGCCCACCUCAAGAUGAGUAUUCUGGUGUAAGGUCACGGGAAGACGACCCGUAAAUAGGCACGAGGUGGAAGUGCAGAGAUGUAUGAAGCCGAAGUGUACUAAUAGACCGUCGGCUUG